This 63-nucleotide transfer RNA is filed under the name Xizicus fascipes. RNAcentral's name for it is "tRNA-Met". The record is from RNAcentral. Lineage: Eukaryota; Metazoa; Arthropoda; Insecta; Orthoptera; Tettigoniidae.
AGAAAGGUAAGCUAACGAAGCUAAUGGGUUCAUACCCCGUAAAUAGGAUCAUCCUCCUUUUUA